UCUAUAAAUAUAAAUCCAAUCAUUACACUUCUAAAAUACAUAGUUUCAUCGCUCCCCCUUUUCCAUCUGCAUUUGGUCUCUUCCGGAACCUUUAUAAGGUGUUCAGGCCCCCAGGGAAUCUUUUAGCCUGAACACCCUGCAGAGGAAGAGACAGAGGACACCAUCAGUUCCAGCUGAGGUGCCACUGGACAAAACACAAACAAUAAAAUACUUCAAUUUG
Molecule: long non-coding RNA, 220 nt
Organism: Gambusia affinis (western mosquitofish)
Lineage: Eukaryota; Metazoa; Chordata; Actinopteri; Cyprinodontiformes; Poeciliidae
Exons: 2
Source: RefSeq, a predicted model, not a curated record